UUAAGUUAUUAAGGGCGCACGGUGGAUGCCUUGGCACUAGAAGCCGAUGAAGGACGUUACUAACGACGAUAUGCUUUGGGGAGCUGUAAGUAAGCUUUGAUCCAGAGAUUUCCGAAUGGGGAAACCCAGCAUGAGUUAUGUCAUGUUAUCGAUAUGUGAAUACAUAGCAUAUCAGAAGGCACACCCGGAGAACUGAAACAUCUUAGUACCCGGAGGAAGAGAAAGAAAAUUCGAUUCCCUUAGUAGCGGCGAGCGAAACGGGAAGAGCCCAAACCAACAAGCUUGCUUGUUGGGGUUGUAGGACACUCUAUACGGAGUUACAAAGGACGACAUUAGACGAAUCAUCUGGAAAGAUGAAUCAAAGAAGGUAAUAAUCCUGUAGUCGAAAAUGUUGUCUCUCUUGAGUGGAUCCUGAGUACGACGGAGCACGUGAAAUUCCGUCGGAAUCUGGGAGGACCAUCUCCUAAGGCUAAAUACUCUCUAGUGACCGAUAGUGAACCAGUACCGUGAGGGAAAGGUGAAAAGCACCCCGGAAGGGGAGUGAAAUAGAACCUGAAACCGUGUGCUUACAAGUAGUCAGAGCCCGUUAAUGGGUGAUGGCGUGCCUUUUGUAGAAUGAACCGGCGAGUUACGAUUUGAUGCAAGGUUAAGCAGUAAAUGUGGAGCCGUAGCGAAAGCGAGUCUGAAUAGGGCGUUUAGUAUUUGGUCGUAGACCCGAAACCAGGUGAUCUACCCUUGGUCAGGUUGAAGUUCAGGUAACACUGAAUGGAGGACCGAACCGACUUACGUUGAAAAGUGAGCGGAUGAACUGAGGGUAGCGGAGAAAUUCCAAUCGAACCUGGAGAUAGCUGGUUCUCUCCGAAAUAGCUUUAGGGCUAGCCUCAAGUGAUGAUUAUUGGAGGUAGAGCACUGUUUGGACGAGGGGCCCCUCUCGGGUUACCGAAUUCAGACAAACUCCGAAUGCCAAUUAAUUUAACUUGGGAGUCAGAACAUGGGUGAUAAGGUCCGUGUUCGAAAGGGAAACAGCCCAGACCACCAGCUAAGGUCCCAAAAUAUAUGUUAAGUGGAAAAGGAUGUGGCGUUGCCCAGACAACUAGGAUGUUGGCUUAGAAGCAGCCAUCAUUUAAAGAGUGCGUAAUAGCUCACUAGUCGAGUGACACUGCGCCGAAAAUGUACCGGGGCUAAACAUAUUACCGAAGCUGUGGAUUGUCCUUUGGACAAUGGUAGGAGAGCGUUCUAAGGGCGUUGAAGCAUGAUCGUAAGGACAUGUGGAGCGCUUAGAAGUGAGAAUGCCGGUGUGAGUAGCGAAAGACGGGUGAGAAUCCCGUCCACCGAUUGACUAAGGUUUCCAGAGGAAGGCUCGUCCGCUCUGGGUUAGUCGGGUCCUAAGCUGAGGCCGACAGGCGUAGGCGAUGGAUAACAGGUUGAUAUUCCUGUACCACCUAUAAUCGUUUUAAUCGAUGGGGGGACGCAGUAGGAUAGGCGAAGCGUGCGAUUGGAUUGCACGUCUAAGCAGUAAGGCUGAGUAUUAGGCAAAUCCGGUACUCGUUAAGGCUGAGCUGUGAUGGGGAGAAGACGUUGUGUCUUCGAGUCGUUGAUUUCACACUGCCGAGAAAAGCCUCUAGAUAGAAAAUAGGUGCCCGUACCGCAAACCGACACAGGUAGUCAAGAUGAGAAUUCUAAGGUGAGCGAGCGAACUCUCGUUAAGGAACUCGGCAAAAUGACCCCGUAACUUCGGGAGAAGGGGUGCUCUUUAGGGUUAACGCCCAGAAGAGCCGCAGUGAAUAGGCCCAAGCGACUGUUUAUCAAAAACACAGGUCUCUGCUAAACCGUAAGGUGAUGUAUAGGGGCUGACGCCUGCCCGGUGCUGGAAGGUUAAGAGGAGUGGUUAGCUUCUGCGAAGCUACGAAUCGAAGCCCCAGUAAACGGCGGCCGUAACUAUAACGGUCCUAAGGUAGCGAAAUUCCUUGUCGGGUAAGUUCCGACCCGCACGAAAGGCGUAACGAUUUGGGCACUGUCUCAACGAGAGACUCGGUGAAAUCAUAGUACCUGUGAAGAUGCAGGUUACCCGCGACAGGACGGAAAGACCCCGUGGAGCUUUACUGUAGCCUGAUAUUGAAAUUCGGCACAGCUUGUACAGGAUAGGUAGGAGCCUUUGAAACGUGAGCGCUAGCUUACGUGGAGGCGCUGGUGGGAUACUACCCUAGCUGUGUUGGCUUUCUAACCUGCACCACUUAUCGUGGUGGGAGACAGUGUCAGGCGGGCAGUUUGACUGGGGCGGUCGCCUCCUAAAAGGUAACGGAGGCGCUCAAAGGUUCCCUCAGAAUGGUUGGAAAUCAUUCAUAGAGUGUAAAGGCAUAAGGGAGCUUGACUGCGAGACCUACAAGUCGAGCAGGGUCGAAAGACGGACUUAGUGAUCCGGUGGUUCCGCAUGGAAGGGCCAUCGCUCAACGGAUAAAAGCUACCCCGGGGAUAACAGGCUUAUCUCCCCCAAGAGUUCACAUCGACGGGGAGGUUUGGCACCUCGAUGUCGGCUCAUCGCAUCCUGGGGCUGUAGUCGGUCCCAAGGGUUGGGCUGUUCGCCCAUUAAAGCGGUACGCGAGCUGGGUUCAGAACGUCGUGAGACAGUUCGGUCCCUAUCCGUCGUGGGCGUAGGAAAUUUGAGAGGAGCUGUCCUUAGUACGAGAGGACCGGGAUGGACAUACCUCUGGUGUACCAGUUGUCGUGCCAACGGCAUAGCUGGGUAGCUAUGUGUGGACGGGAUAAGUGCUGAAAGCAUCUAAGCAUGAAGCCCCCCUCAAGAUGAGAUUUCCCAACUUCGGUUAUAAGAUCCCUCAAAGAUGAUGAGGUUAAUAGGUUCGAGGUGGAAGCAUGGUGACAUGUGGAGCUGACGAAUACUAAUCGAUCGAAGACUUAAUCAA
RNAcentral lists this ribosomal RNA (2921 nucleotides) under Staphylococcus aureus. Its description in RNAcentral is "bacterial LSU rRNA". It matches the Rfam family "Bacterial large subunit ribosomal RNA". Lineage: Bacteria; Bacillati; Bacillota; Bacilli; Caryophanales; Staphylococcaceae. The record is from RNAcentral.